CUCCUGUCUACAUUCAAGGUGUUCAUCUUGGCACAGAGAGAGCAAAAAUACAUCAUUAUUACUUGACUGCCUUAAUGCAGACUUCAGAACAUGGAUGAGAGGACCUCUUGCUCAAGAAAGCUACUCUUGCAGGGGAGCUGGACUCAGUGAUCUCUAGAAUUCCCUUCCAACCCCUCCAAUACUGUGAUACAUAUCAGAUAUUCUACUUUUUGCAUUUGGAUACUCUCCUUUGUAAGCAACUCUGCCAGCUCUUGGGGGAUGAACCAUGUCUGCCUACUACCACUGUGCUCACCCUGCUGCAAUAGGAUGAGGAACCUACAUUUCAGCUCUCCCAUUGCGCUUCUGCAGUCAUGAGGAAUGCAGACCCACUAGUUGUGAGAGCUUUCCCUCCCAACUAUGGUAGUGGGCACCACACUGGCAUUUAGCAGCAUGAAGCUGCCUUCUGAGGAUGCAGCUCCC
Gallus gallus (chicken) is the source of this 459-nucleotide long non-coding RNA. NCBI's taxonomy places the organism in Eukaryota, Metazoa, Chordata, Aves, Galliformes, Phasianidae. The record is from Ensembl.